ACAUACGACCACACCCAUUGGAAAACUCGGGAUCCCGUCCGCUCUCCCAUAGAUAAGCCAAUGAGGGCUGAACUAGUAGUUGGGUCGGUGACGACCAGCGAAUCCUCGGUGUUGUAUGUU
This is a ribosomal RNA of Verticillium albo-atrum, 120 nucleotides long. The record is from Rfam. Lineage: Eukaryota; Fungi; Ascomycota; Sordariomycetes; Glomerellales; Plectosphaerellaceae.